RNAcentral lists this unclassified non-coding RNA (198 nucleotides) under uncultured Sebacinales. RNAcentral describes it as "sequence contains ITS2". Lineage: Eukaryota; Fungi; Basidiomycota; Agaricomycetes; Sebacinales. The record is from RNAcentral.
UAAUCUCACUCCAACACCUUUAUCGAUGUUGGAUGUGGACUUGGAUGUUGUCGUGUUCAACGACUCGUCUUAAAUGCCUGAGUGUACCCUGCUUUGCAGCGUAUCAGUGUGAUAAACAUCUUCACUGUUAAGUCUUUCGGGACACGCUUGUGUUGUAGGCUCUAUGCUUUCAAACCGUCCUCUGGACAAUCUCUGACA